GACGAACGCUGGCGGCGUGCUUAACACAUGCAAGUCGAACGAAGAGCGAUGGAAGCUUGCUUCUAUCAAUCUUAGUGGCGAACGGGUGAGUAACGCGUAAUCAACCUGCCCUUCAGAGGGGGACAACAGUUGGAAACGACUGCUAAUACCGCAUACGAUCUAAUCUCGGCAUCGAGGAUAGAUGAAAGGUGGCCUCUAUUUAUAAGCUAUCACUGAAGGAGGGGAUUGCGUCUGAUUAACUAGUUGGAGGGGUAACGGCCCACCAAGGCGAUGAUCAGUAGCCGGUCUGAGAGGAUGAACGGCCACAUUGGGACUGAGACACGGCCCAGACUCCUACGGGAGGCAGCAGUGGGGAAUCUUCCGCAAUGGACGAAAGUCUGACGGAGCAACGCCGCGUGAGUGAUGACGGCCUUCGGGUUGUAAAGCUCUGUUAAUCGGGACGAAAGGCCUUCUUGCGAAUAGUUAGAAGG
This 470-nucleotide ribosomal RNA is filed under the name Veillonella dispar. RNAcentral describes it as "bacterial SSU rRNA". It matches the Rfam family "Bacterial small subunit ribosomal RNA", at positions 28 to 475 of the family's 1533-position model. The record is from RNAcentral. Lineage: Bacteria; Bacillati; Bacillota; Negativicutes; Veillonellales; Veillonellaceae.